CCCCUAGAUGUUCUGGGCCGCACGCGCGCUACACUGAACAGUUCAACAAGUCUUAACCUUGGCCGAUAGGUCUGGGUAAUCUUUGAACGCUGUUCGUGAUUGGGAUAGACCUUUGCAAUUAUGGGUCUUCAACGAGGAAUUCCCAGUAAGCGCGAGUCAUCAUCUCGCGUUGAUUACGUCCCUGCCCUUUGUACACACCGCCCGUCGCUACUACCGAUUGAAUGGUUUAGUGAGAUCCUCGGAUUGGCCAUCUCGGCGUGACUUCGGUUGUGCACGUGGUGGCCGAGAAGACGAUCAAACUUGAUCAUUUAGAGGAAGUAAAAGUCGUAACA
Molecule: ribosomal RNA, 332 nt
Filed under: uncultured eukaryote
Lineage: Eukaryota
Description: partial 18S ribosomal RNA
Rfam family: Eukaryotic small subunit ribosomal RNA
Source: RNAcentral